GUGCAGAGCGUCUAGGGUUCCGGCCGCGACCAAGCGGUGCUGGUCCAAGAGACGCGACCGCCAGGGAUGCACUGAGGCAUCCGGCGGAACACGGCGGGCCAAAAUCCCGGGAGAA
This is a regulatory RNA element of Mesorhizobium alhagi CCNWXJ12-2, 115 nucleotides long. It matches the Rfam family "Guanidine-I riboswitch aptamer". Rfam says of the family: This family represents a conserved RNA structure found upstream of the ykkC and yxkD genes in Bacillus subtilis and related genes in other bacteria. NCBI's taxonomy places the organism in Bacteria, Pseudomonadati, Pseudomonadota, Alphaproteobacteria, Hyphomicrobiales, Phyllobacteriaceae. The record is from Rfam.